ACGUAUUAACGUCUGAUGGCCCUUUCACGCUUCUGUAGAAUCAACAAUUAUUACACGAAAUUCAUUUUAAAAAUAUUUCUGAAAUGUCUAGGUUGCCGCUUUCAAAUACGAAAAUAUCUGACAUCCGAUGAAUAUAUAUACUGACAUUUUUAGACAACAGCAAAAAGGACCUUUUAAACGAUUUCACGAAGUUCCAAAAAUCUCCAUAUACCCUUCCUCCGGCACGGACACCUGUGGGAUUUAAUAAGUAUUUUCUAAUUGCUUUAGUUAAACUAAAUCAACACAAAAAUAAAGGAAAUAAUUACAAGUUGUUAUAUAAUUUUUCCUUAAAGAUAGGGCAAUUACAAAUGUGAAAGAUUCCCGUUUCAUUUUUAUGCACUUUUAUCACAUUUACUGUAUCGUAAGUCAGGCUCAACAUACGAUGUUGAUAAGGUAUGCUUUGAGUUAUCGAAAUAGCAUUACCUUAGUGUUACCUUAACACUAUCGUAAAUAACCUCGAAAUUCAGCGAUAUCGUAAGUUUCGAGUUAGCCACCCCAGGACUGUCUUACGCUUAUUUUGAAUAUGUAUAAUUUUUAAUUGAUAUAGAUUAAGUGAAAUAAGUGCAGUUUCUUCUAAUACAGAGAACAGUCAUUACGGGUAGAAACUAGAGGCUAUUUUUUUAUAGCAAUUCCCGUAUUGAUGUUCUUUUCAUAAAUACACUGUACAUCAUUUGGUGCAUUUCGACAAAGACAUACAGGAGCGUAGGAGCAGGGGUGGGGACAUGGGGGCACGUGCCCACAAAUCCUGGCCAAAAUUGACCAAACUUCUUAAUUUUACACUGAAAAUUACGAAAAUUUUAGAUGUGCCCCCUGCGUCAGUGAUUAUGAAAACAUAGGUUGUGCUGCACCCACCUCCAAAUGCUUCCUAUGGGCCUGCAACGUAAUAGACGUACUUAUAUAUUAUUGUAUAACUUUUGUAGACAAAUUAUACAUGUAUAUACGUUAUUUGUAAACCUGCACUAGGUUUCUCCAUUUCUUUUCUAAGUUUACAGCAAUGUUUUCCUGAAAUAUAGCUGUUGUACAAGUAUCUGGUCAGAGUUUUUAGGAAGAUGUUGUGCGGAAGUAUACUUUCCCUAUCAAAAUGCUCCUUAACUUAUUUGAAGGAGACGAGUUAAUACAAGGAUAUUUUUUCGCCGGGUACACUUACAGCGAGAUUAUAACAAUUUUGAAUCGACGUCAUGGCACUACGAUCAGGUAAGGUACAUAUAAGAUUCUUUCACUGGUGAUAGGUGCAGAUGGGAAUAUUCGGCUGGAGGGUAACUGUUUUUGGCGGUAACGAGGCUCUUGCCAAGUUACGGCUUAAACAGUUACCCGAGAGCCGGAUAUUUCCAUCUGCACCUACCUACAGUGAUUGAAUCUUUUUCUUGCAUGCCAUAUUCAACAAAUAAUAGUAAAAAUAAACUCAAACAAAUAAUUUUUAUAGCACUUUUUUCUUAUACAAUGUAGUAGCGUAUGAACAAAGCGCGGGAACUUUACGUCAAUAAACAGGAAGUACGUAAUGACGUUACAAACACGAAAACAACGUAAUAGUUCCGGUUUUGUUUUAUCAUCUGCAGUAAAACGUUAUGUUUUUCCGUAAAAUGACGUUUUUGGAAUCGAGAAAUAUGUUAUAAGGGACAACGAGAAACUAUCAAGCCUCAGACAGCUUAGCAGGCGCCUAAGGUUGCUUGGUCUUAGAAGACACAAUAUGCCAGGAAAUGAAGGCACAGUUAUUGAAGUUAUCCGUCAUGAAAUUGAGGGAAGCGGCUCCUCACUCGGAUACAGAGCUAUGACUCGACGUCUACUGUCUUCGUACGGCAUAGUUGCUUCAAGGUAAGGAUUAUUUAAAAACAAAAACACAAAAAAAACUACAAAAAAAAAACAAACAAACAAAAAACAAUGAUAUCAUAAGCGGAAAGCGAUUUUUUAAUGUCAGCUAGGGAAAUUAAUGUUACAGGUGCAUGCGUACACGUAGUAAUUAUCAAAUAAAGCAGUACUUGACCCUGGUUAGAGGGACAACAUGUGAUGCAGAGACGUGCUUUCGGUUCGGCUACGUUUGGUAGCUUGGUUAUCCAUCAUGGAGUUUUAGUUUUCCUUUUCGUGCCUAAAACGUGCAAAUGAAUAAGA
Mercenaria mercenaria is the source of this 2145-nucleotide long non-coding RNA. RefSeq lists it as uncharacterized. The record is from RefSeq and is a predicted model, not a curated record. The transcript is spliced from 3 exons. NCBI's taxonomy places the organism in Eukaryota, Metazoa, Mollusca, Bivalvia, Venerida, Veneridae.